RNAcentral lists this ribosomal RNA (502 nucleotides) under uncultured bacterium. RNAcentral describes it as "partial 16S ribosomal RNA". It matches the Rfam family "Bacterial small subunit ribosomal RNA", at positions 29 to 523 of the family's 1533-position model. The record is from RNAcentral.
AUUGAACGCUGGCGGAAUGCUUUACACAUGCAAGUCGAACGGCAGCACGGGUGCUUGCACCUGGUGGCGAGUGGCGAACGGGUGAGUAAUACAUCGGAACGUACCCUGACGUGGGGGAUAACACAGCGAAAGUUGUGCUAAUACCGCAUACGUCCUGAGGGAGAAAGCGGGGGAUCGCAAGACUCCGCGCGUUAGGAGCGGCCGAUGGCGGAUUAGCUAGUUGGUGGGGUAAAGGCUCACCAAGGCGACGAUCCGUAGCUGGUCUGAGAGGACGACCAGCCACACUGGAACUGAGACACGGUCCAGACUCCUACGGGAGGCAGCAGUGGGGAAUUUUGGACAAUGGGCGGAAGCCUGAUCCAGCCAUUCCGCGUGAGUGAAGAAGGCCUUCGGGUUGUAAAGCUCUUUCGGCAGGAACGAAACGGUGUGGGCCAAUACCCUGCAUCAAUGACGGUACCUGAAGAAGAAGCACCGGCUAACUACGUGCCAGCCGCCGCGGUAA